UCCCAGCAGUCCAAGUUGCAGCCAACUUUAUUAGGUCUAAAACAUCCGUAGCUUGUCUGACAAGUUCUUUGUGAAAUCUGGCAUCUUAAGUGUCGGGCGCGCAAAGAAUACUGUUGGGCUAGGGACUGGUAGAUGUAAAGAGUAUGCUUGAGGUAGUGGUAAAAUACGUUAAUCUUAGGCAGACUAACAAUCGAGCGAAGGCACUUUACAAGGACGGAUCCGACAGUGAGGGAUGAAGGCUAGGG
This 245-nucleotide ribosomal RNA is filed under the name uncultured archaeon. RNAcentral's name for it is "partial 16S ribosomal RNA". It matches the Rfam family "Archaeal small subunit ribosomal RNA", at positions 474 to 716 of the family's 1478-position model. The record is from RNAcentral.